GAAAGAAUAAACUAACUUAAAGGAAAUACUAUGAAACAAUACUGUAAGAAAAACUAAUAAAUUCUUUGGCUUCUACUCGCCGUCUUCCUGCAGAACGGGCUCGGGAACCAAAUCUUCUUGAUCUGAAAUAGUUAAGUAAGGAAUGAGUUACACUAGCCCAGUAAAGACAUCACAAUAUCUCACUGUCACAGAAGUAAAAGUUGGUAUAAAACGAAAACAACCAAUGGAGCA
Molecule: long non-coding RNA, 231 nt
Filed under: Carica papaya (papaya)
Lineage: Eukaryota; Viridiplantae; Streptophyta; Magnoliopsida; Brassicales; Caricaceae
Description: long non-coding RNA (CPAP_LNC014698)
Source: RNAcentral